AUGGAGCGGGCUGUGGAAGAGGGAUGUGGCUGUGGCAAUCCUGACACUCGAGACAAUGCUCAGAGCACGUUUUCCCAAGGGGAAGGAAGAAGCAUCAAGGAGCAAGAACAUGAAGAAGUGAAGAAGAGAAGCCCCCAUGCAAAGUGGCAGCAGCCGGGCUGCAAUGGAGUGAAGCUCUGCAGGCCAUUGCUGAAGGGCAGAGCCUCCUCAGGAGCCUCAUUUCACCGCAUUCUCUCAGCCCAAAGGCGGGGGCCAGAAGCUGGGGCUGCCCAGGGCCCCAGCAUUGCCCAGCCCGAGGAAUCCAGGCGUGGAAGCCCCGGCUCUGUGAGCUCACGGCCGGGCUCGGGGCUGUCUCCAGGGCAGCAGAGAACGGUGGAGCCCCGGGAGGAGCGGCCGCAGCGGCACCGGAGAGGCACAGCCGCAGCUGGGGCUGCUCUGCUGCUUCUGCUGGCACCGCUCUGCUUCUGCUGCUGCUUCUGGCACCGCUCUGCUUCUGCUGCUGCUUCUGCCACUGCUGUGGGGUGGCCGAGCAGCGGCACCUGCAGCCUGCCAGGCGCUGGGAGCUCAAGGCAGAGCUCACUGACCCACUCGGCAUCGCUCUUGACACCGGACACGGAGAAGGGAUUGUGUGCUCACGGAAGCAGCAGCCAUGCCGCAGGGAAUCGUGCGGAUGUGCCUGGUGCUGAUGGCCGUGGCGAGCGUCAAGCUGCCGCUGCAGCCCAAGGCCCAGCAGGAGCUGGAAAGCCUGCAGAGGAUGAAGGAACGCGAGGCUCGGCUGCGGCUGCACCAGCUGCUCUUGGAGAAGGAAAUAGCAGCGCUGGAAGCUCUGGAAGCCCCGCAGGAGGCUCCGGCCCCAGCGGCAGAGCAGCAGCCGGAGGAGCAGCAGCGGAGCACGGCAGCCUUGCUGGCCUUGGCCGGGCCUGUGCUGCUCGUGCUGGGCCGGCAGCGCCUGCGGGGAGCCGCAGCUCAGCUCCCGGGACAAGGACACGCUGGCCCGGGGCUCCUGGGCACAGCCUGCAAGGGAAUGGCCCUCCUGAGAGAGCUCCUGCUGCUGCUGCUCAGGGCCAUGGCCAUCUCCAUGGGCAGAGCCCUGCCGGAGCUGCGGGGAGCUGCGGCCACACUGCUCCCACUGCCCGUCCUCGCUAACACCAAAAAACACUUGGGGCUGCACUAGGGGAAGCCAUUCCCUGCUGCAUUCAUUGCUACAAAUGCUCUCUUUGACUUGUUCUAUCAGCCGUGUUCAUUGCUAGCAAUGGUCUCUGCAUAGUUUAAAUAGCAUCUCUAAUGGUUAUGUUAUUAGUAGAUAUAUUAUAUUAUAUUAUAUUAUAUUAUAUUAUAUUAUAUUAUAUUAUAUUAUAUUAUAUUAUAUUAUAUUAUAUUAUAUUAUAUUAUAUUA
Molecule: long non-coding RNA, 1396 nt
Filed under: Parus major (Great Tit)
Lineage: Eukaryota; Metazoa; Chordata; Aves; Passeriformes; Paridae
Description: lncRNA (ENSPMJG00000001345.1)
Source: RNAcentral